Molecule: long non-coding RNA, 1992 nt
Organism: Dendroctonus ponderosae (mountain pine beetle)
Lineage: Eukaryota; Metazoa; Arthropoda; Insecta; Coleoptera; Curculionidae
Exons: 2
Source: RefSeq, a predicted model, not a curated record
UAUUCUCAUAUUAUUUCUUGUGUUUCUAUCACUAGAAUUGAUAUUUUUCACUAAAAUAUUGGAAAAUCGUAUACACAUAUAGAAUUAUUUGUAUAAUCAAUUAUACUAAGUAUUCCACUUCCUUAAUCAUCGAUUUUAGAUUAUUCGUUGCUAUCAUUAUAAUAUCCUUGUAUUCCUAUAAUGUGUUAAAGUUACCAAGGCGUUAAUAAUUUGGUCAGCUUCAGAAGAAACACAAUUUGGAGUAACGUGAAAAUUUCAAAAUAUUGUCAACAAUUUCAAUUGGACUUUCUUUUGUGCUUUCCGAACAACUGUGUUGAUUACUGCGUUUUUUUUUCGAAAUUGUUAUGGUUUUUAAUCAGUUUAUACUGAUACUAUUUCGUACCACUUUUCCGGUAGGCAGAUUUUUGCGACACUUUUUUGGACAAACAAUGAAAUCAUAAUUCUUAAAUUAAGUUUUACUUAAUGUUAAUGGGAUAACUUUAUUCACUUCAAAAAUAUGUUCCCUCAGAUUACUUAACAGUUAUGGGUAUCUGUAACACAUUUCAUAUCGUAACAAAUAGUUAAUACUUUGCAAGCUUUGAACCGUAAUCUCUAGGUCAAGCUAAGUUUUGAUUCCAAAUUAAUCGUUAAUUAUCAGAUUACAUCAUCACUGGCAACCUUUCAAAUAUCUAUACUAUCUAUACCGUUGAGCAAUUGUUGUCAUACUUACUUAAUCUCUAGUUGUUAUAUUACCUAUGUUCUAUGACAAGAGGUACCAGUUUCGACAGUUAUUCAUCAAAUGAAAUUUCUAUGUAGUUAUCACAAACAAAAAUCUCUACUUACUAGUUAGCCUCUCCAGAUUAUCUCUUCAUUUUUGCACUUGUGCGUAGUGUUUCCUCUUAGUGCAACCUACUGUAAUGGCAAUUUUUGAUAGUAAACAGCAAAUAUUUCUCAAAGGUUAGCUGCAAAUAAACAUUAGCAUUCCACGUACUUAUACAUUGAAUGUAGUGCUCACAGGUAUUACUAGGAUACUUCGAAAAUUGUCUUAUAAUAUUAGCUCCUUCAAAAGAUAUGGAUGUCCAUGAAUAGUUGAAAAUGUGCAUUUCAUAGUCAUGGUAUUUUACGAAGUGGAUUUGUCUCAAAGGCACUCAAUGUAACACAUGUAACUUUUUUAGUUUUGUUUUUUCACUGCCUUUAGAAUUUUGUAUAAAAUGCAGACAUUUGAUGUACGAUCUCUCAUAUUACGUAAAAAGUAUGAGUUAUCAAACAGGAUGUAUGGAACUUAUGCGAUACAUACUUGUAACUGCAUAUCCCAUAAAACCCGAAAUAGAUUUUUUCUCAGAUACUGCAAUGGUAUGACAUGCAGUCAAUGUUGGGUGUUUAUUAUGUAGGGUAUUAUUUAUUACCUAUGCCUCCAAAGAAUUAAUAACUCAUAAGUUCAAACCUUUUUUUAUCCAAUACCCAAAAGUCUGUAUUUUAAUAUUUUAUAUCAAUUUUUCUUCAGGAACCAGCCGGAAGCAAUAGGUUUAUGCGGGAAUAGAUAUUUCUUAACUUGACUUUUUAAAAUUUAAUUUGACAGUGUUAAACUGCAUAUUUUAAGCAGAUUUUUUUGCCAAUUUCAAGCAUUACUUUCGUUCGAGUUAAUAGGUUCUCCGAAACAUUAAUUACUGAAUUCCUGACAGUUUCGACUAAUUUCCUAUCAAUUAAAAUAAGUUCUGCUUGGCUGCUGCCUGGGAAAACGUGUUGGGUUUGCGAUGCUUAGAUAUAGGUACAUUAUACAUUACAUGUAUAUGCAGGAUAUGCUGGUAAUAAGUCCACAUUAGCUUGGAAACUAAGAAGCCUGAAACCAUAUUUAAAACCAUUUUUCUAUUUUUAAGUUCCGAUUAGGUUAAAGGCAAUUUUAUCAAUAAGGAAUAUUUAAUAAUGUCCCAGAUGUCACGGUUUAUUGAUGAACUGCGAUUAAGUAAAGUUAUAGAUACAUUUUCGAAGAUUAAAUCUUGUGAUGGUAUUUAA